RNAcentral lists this ribosomal RNA (253 nucleotides) under uncultured bacterium. RNAcentral's name for it is "partial 16S ribosomal RNA". It matches the Rfam family "Bacterial small subunit ribosomal RNA", at positions 524 to 776 of the family's 1533-position model. The record is from RNAcentral.
UACAAAGGGGGCUAGCGUUGUUCGGAAUUACUGGGCGUAAAGCGCACGUAGGCGGAAUGUUAAGUCAGGGGUGAAAUCCCGGGGCUCAACCCCGGAACUGCCUUUGAUACUGGCAUUCUCGAGUCCGGAAGAGGUGAGUGGAAUUCCGAGUGUAGAGGUGAAAUUCGUAGAUAUUCGGAGGAACACCAGUGGCGAAGGCGGCUCACUGGUCCGGUACUGACGCUGAGGUGCGAAAGCGUGGGGAGCAAACGGG